CGUAGGGUGCAAGCGUUGUCCGGAAUUAUUGGGCGUAAAGAGCUCGUAGGCGGUCUGUCGCGUCGGCUGUGAAAACUCGGGGCUCAACCCCGAGCCUGCAGUCGAUACGGGCAGACUAGAGUGCGGUAGGGGAGACUGGAAUUCCUGGUGUAGCGGUGAAAUGCGCAGAUAUCAGGAGGAACACCGAUGGCGAAGGCAGGUCUCUGGGCCACUACUGACGCUGAGAAGCGAAAGCAUGGGGAGCGAACAGG
Molecule: ribosomal RNA, 251 nt
Filed under: uncultured bacterium
Lineage: Bacteria
Description: partial 16S ribosomal RNA
Rfam family: Bacterial small subunit ribosomal RNA
Source: RNAcentral